Dreissena polymorpha is the source of this 320-nucleotide long non-coding RNA. RefSeq lists it as uncharacterized. The record is from RefSeq and is a predicted model, not a curated record. Lineage: Eukaryota; Metazoa; Mollusca; Bivalvia; Myida; Dreissenidae. The transcript is spliced from 4 exons.
ACCCAUUCGAAGAAUUCCAACCACAUGUAAGCGGGAUCCCAGAUAUUACGUACUUCGAGUAUAUUAUAAAAUAUCCCGUCGGUAAAAAAUAUUAAGUUAUCUUAUCGAAGCAGUGCCUGAAGUACAAAAACAUAGAAAAUGGACGACACGGACUGGAUGUCUACCCCGAUCACUGACCCUGAAGAAAUAAAGAAGAAUGGUAACUUGAUGAGAAUCAAAAUGGAGUUGAUGACAAUGGAUAUACAGCGUGAGUUCUGCAGGGCUCUUGAAGAAGAGGAAGAUGGGAAGAAAUUUCAGGUGGAUAAAUGGUCUAAAAAGAG